AGGCUGGCGAUGAUUGAGAUUGUUCCCACACGCAAUUUCUCCUGAUCCACAUGAAGGCUAAACUUCCUUGGACGUCUGAGCCG
RNAcentral lists this small nucleolar RNA (83 nucleotides) under Caenorhabditis elegans. Its description in RNAcentral is "MeCeSSU-C400 small nucleolar RNA". It matches the Rfam family "C. elegans snoRNA ceN33", at positions 36 to 117 of the family's 118-position model. Lineage: Eukaryota; Metazoa; Nematoda; Chromadorea; Rhabditida; Rhabditidae. The record is from RNAcentral.